Molecule: long non-coding RNA, 2550 nt
Filed under: Bemisia tabaci
Lineage: Eukaryota; Metazoa; Arthropoda; Insecta; Hemiptera; Aleyrodidae
Description: lncRNA ENSSSA1NGG014100
Source: RNAcentral
AGCAAAGGAGAGAUGAGCUGGUGGAGAAGGCAAUGUUAAAAAGUGGCGCGAAAUAUUCAUUUCAAAUAGAGUAGAGUAGAGGGCGACUGAUAGAGAGCGCUGCUAAUCAUGACUAUAACAGCUGACGUAAGACUUGUUUUGUUUACGUUUCGCAGAAGUAGCAUUUUGAAAAAGACUGAUAAGAGUUUUGCAGGACACAUCACUCAUUUGUCGUCCCAAAUGAAGUGUUAUUUCCAGUUUCACAUUUUGAUUUUUGGAAACCUAUUGCAGCCCUGCAAUGUCUGAUGAGCAAAUGGCUUUCGUGUAAAGUCACACACCUCUCGGAAUGGACCACUUGACAAGGUACAAAAUUAAGCAUGCUGAUACUUACAUUUUUCUUUACCAAAAUUUCACGUAGAAAACAAUUCGCGCAACGAAAAUUAGUGGAUUUAACUCCUAACCAAGAUAUUUAAUGUUUCUUGAUGCGUGAAUUCAAACCUCCCGCUCAUGAAAACUCAAUGGUCUGUGAGAGUCAAAUCGCACACUAAACGUUACGAUGGCAGUCUCUGCAAUACAAAAAUAUAAUAGCCUCAAUCAUUACGCUUUGGCUCAGCUAUAGCAAAUUGUUUACACCUUGAAUGGUGAAGGUUGGGAAAGGAACAGUACUCGAUUAGUAGCCUGCCAAAACCGUUGUAAGGCGCGAUUUGACUCACGUGGAGUAUUAAGUUACUCGUGAGCGGGCAAUUCAAAGUUCCUGUAACCAAUGUAAAAUUAAAACGUUAAAAUCGUAGUAUUAUGAGUUGAUUUCAGUAAUUUUUGAUGCAAGAAUCGUGUUAUACAUGAAAUUCUGGUUAAAAAACAUGUAUCAGAAUGCUUACAUUCGUACCUUGUCUAGUGGUCCAUUAUGUUGCCGCUAAAUUGUUGGUGUUAUUUUUUAUUGUUUCACAUGAUAAGGACUAUCCAAGUACAAGAUCAUAAAUGGAAAUUUUUGGUGAAUAUGAAGUGAGAGAAAUUGAUUCAUGAUUAGUUUUCACGACCAAAUUUGAGUAUCAAGCAGAAAUUUUGCAAAGCUGCAGUGUUUGAUACCUAUAGGUUUUCGGAACAUCAAUGUCUGUUUCAGUUGUACCUAUUUCAUAGGAGUGGAAAAUGGAUCAUUACACAAUAGAUCGACAAAUGUUGCAUGGUAAUUUUGAAUAUUUACAAUCUUUUGCUCCGUCCUACUUUAAUGCCAUUUUACAACAAAUGAAGAUCAUUUGACAUGUAAUCAAUAAGGCACCAAUACAAAUAAGAAAAGCUUCAAUCAGCAACAAAAUAUUUUGGGAUCGAACAUUUGCUAGUGUUUUUUUAUGAAUUGUUAAAUUAACUUUGUGAAAUAAGAAAUCUACCUAUGUAUUUAACUAGCCUCUGAAUCCUUUUCUCCCUCCUCGGCCCCCAAAAGGAUCCUUCUACUAAUUUAUUAUUGUAUAUAUAUAUUUAUAUUUACUUAUGUUUGUUGCAAUAGUUCCAGAUAUUUUUUAAGACACUUUUUUGAUCCUGCAUUUAAUUCAUAACCUAUUUGUUACAAAAGUGUGGAUCAAUAAACAAAUUGUUGGCUUCUAACUCUCUUUAUACUCAUUCAUCAGACUCAAAACUCACCCUAGUAGCAGAACCACAGAAGGAAAAGAUAAAUAUUAUGUACGAAAGUUAAUUUUUUUUAUAUAAUGCAUGCAUACAAAAGUGUUAAAAGUGAACAUUUUUAUGUAACCAUUAUAUAAAACAAUGUUAUAAUUUUCGUGAGCUUUUCGCGAACAUACUAAAAAUUCUUCUAAUUCGCAAAAAGCUCACGAAAAUGAUGACCUAUUUUUUAUAUAAUCGUUACAUAAAAAUGUUCACUUUCAACACUUUCGUAUGCAUGCGUUAUAUAAAAAAAUAAAAAGUUUGUGUAUAAAAAAAAAUUACCUUAUCUAGCUUUUAUCAUUUUUCAUAUAUUACGGUAUACUUUGAUUUUUUUUUAUAUAAGCGUUACACGUUUUUUAUAUAAAAUGAUCAUUUAGAUAACAGAUAUGUUUUUUUUAUACUUUUUUUAGAAGAACAAAAAUUUGUUCUGCUACUAGGGAUAAUUUGAAUUUAAAUUCUUCUCAAAUCAAAUCUUCACAAUUGGUUGAAAUUCAUUUUGCAAUUAAUCAUUGCUGUGUAAUAUUGAUGUACUUACCAGGUGUAAGCUACAAUCAAACAGAAUCGAGAAUGAAUCUCUGAAGAGUCCCGCACAAAAUGAGAAAAUGGAUAGUUUCACUUCCUGAUAAAAAGUAGAAUAGGAUAAGGCCCUUAAUUAUUAUUAGGUACCAGCCGAGCAUAAUACCCAAUUCAUUUUUAAUCCACGGAACUUAGAUCAGAAAAAUUGCUCUACAAAUUAACCAUACAAUUUCGUUCAAGCAUGAGAGAGAGAAGUUGAUGCCAUCAGUUUCAACGAUGGACCUAUCGUAUUAUGAGUUCACCUUGGAGAGCAAUUCAAAAUUUUUAAUCCUACGCGUUCAAUGGUGCAUUCACUCGGAUUAAACACAUGUUGGAAUGUUGAUGCACAACCUACAAAUG